GACGAACGCUGGCGGCGUGCUUAACACAUGCAAGUCGAACGAUGAUGCCCAGCUUGCUGGGCGGAUUAGUGGCGAACGGGUGAGUAAUACGUGAGUAACCUGCCCUUGACUCUGGGAUAAGCCUGGGAAACUGGGUCUAAUACUGGAUACUACCUCUUACCGCAUGGUGGGUGGUGGAAAGGGUUUUACUGGUUUUGGAUGGGCUCACGGCCUAUCAGCUUGUUGGUGGGGUAAUGGCUCACCAAGCCGACGACGGGUAGCCGGCCUGAGAGGGUGACCGGCCACACUGGGACUGAGACACGGCCCAGACUCCUACGGGAGGCAGCAGUGGGGAAUAUUGCACAAUGGGCGGAAGCCUGAUGCAGCGACGCCGCGUGAGGGAUGACGGCCUUCGGGUUGUAAACCUCUUUCAGUAGGGAAGAAGCGAGAGUGACGGUACCUGCAGAAGAAGCGCCGGCUAACUACGUGCCAGCAGCCGCGGUAAUACGUAGGGCGCAAGCGUUGUCCGGAAUUAUUGGGCGUAAAGAGCUCGUAGGCGGUUUGUCGCGUCUGCUGUGAAAGCCCGGGGCUUAACCCCGGGUCUGCAGUGGGUACGGGCAGACUAGAGUGCAGUAGGGGAGACUGGAAUUCCUGGUGUAGCGGUGAAAUGCGCAGAUAUCAGGAGGAACACCGAUGGCGAAGGCAGGUCUCUGGGCUGUUACUGACGCUGAGGAGCGAAAGCAUGGGGAGCGAACAGGAUUAGAUACCCUGGUAGUCCAUGCCGUAAACGUUGGGCACUAGGUGUGGGGGACAUUCCACGUUUUCCGCGCCGUAGCUAACGCAUUAAGUGCCCCGCCUGGGGAGUACGGCCGCAAGGCUAAAACUCAAAGGAAUUGACGGGGGCCCGCACAAGCGGCGGAGCAUGCGGAUUAAUUCGAUGCAACGCGAAGAACCUUACCAAGGCUUGACAUUCACCGGACCGCCCCAGAGAUGGGGUUUCCCUUCGGGGCUGGUGGACAGGUGGUGCAUGGUUGUCGUCAGCUCGUGUCGUGAGAUGUUGGGUUAAGUCCCGCAACGAGCGCAACCCUCGUUCUAUGUUGCCAGCACGUGAUGGUGGGGACUCAUAGGAGACUGCCGGGGUCAACUCGGAGGAAGGUGGGGAUGACGUCAAAUCAUCAUGCCCCUUAUGUCUUGGGCUUCACGCAUGCUACAAUGGCCGGUACAAAGGGUUGCGAUACUGUGAGGUGGAGCUAAUCCCAAAAAGCCGGUCUCAGUUCGGAUUGAGGUCUGCAACUCGACCUCAUGAAGUCGGAGUCGCUAGUAAUCGCAGAUCAGCAACGCUGCGGUGAAUACGUUCCCGGGCCUUGUACACACCGCCCGUCAAGUCACGAAAGUUGGUAACACCCGAAGCCGGUGGCCUAACCCCUUGUGGGAGGGAGCCGUCGAAGGUGGGACUGGCGAUUGGGACU
Molecule: ribosomal RNA, 1448 nt
Filed under: Kocuria rosea
Lineage: Bacteria; Bacillati; Actinomycetota; Actinomycetes; Micrococcales; Micrococcaceae
Description: bacterial SSU rRNA
Rfam family: Bacterial small subunit ribosomal RNA
Source: RNAcentral